GGUUAAGCGACUAAGCGUACACGGUGGAUGCCCUGGCAGUCAGAGGCGAUGAAGGACGUGCUAAUCUGCGAAAAGCGUCGGUAAGGUGAUAUGAACCGUUAUAACCGGCGAUGUCCGAAUGGGGAAACCCAGUGCAAUUCGUUGCACUAUCGUUAACUGAAUACAUAGGUUAACGAGGCGAACCGGGGGAACUGAAACAUCUAAGUACCCCGAGGAAAAGAAAUCAACCGAGAUUCCCCCAGUAGCGGCGAGCGAACGGGGAGCAGCCCAGAGUCUGAAUCAGCUUGUGUGUUAGUGGAACGGUCUGGAAAGUCCGACGGUACAGGGUGAUAGUCCCGUACACCAAAAUGCACAGGCUGUGAACUCGAAGAGUAGGGCGGGACACGUGGUAUCCUGUCUGAAUAUGGGGGGACCAUCCUCCAAGGCUAAAUACUCCUGACUGACCGAUAGUGAACCAGUACCGUGAGGGAAAGGCGAAAAGAACCCCGGCGAGGGGAGUGAAAAAGAACCUGAAACCGUGUACGUACAAGCAGUGGGAGCACCUUCGGGUGUGACUGCGUACCUUUUGUAUAAUGGGUCAGCGACUUAUAUUCUGUAGCAAGGUUAACCGUAUAGGGGAGCCGCAGGGAAACCGAGUCUUAACUGGGCGUUAAGUUGCAGGGUAUAGACCCGAAACCCGGUGAUCUAGCCAUGGGCAGGUUGAAGGUUGGGUAACACUAACUGGAGGACCGAACCGACUAAUGUUGAAAAAUUAGCGGAUGACUUGUGGCUGGGGGUGAAAGGCCAAUCAAACCGGGAGAUAGCUGGUUCUCCCCGAAAGCUAUUUAGGUAGCGCCUCGUGAACUCAUCUUCGGGGGUAGAGCACUGUUUCGGCUAGGGGGUCAUCCCGACUUACCAACCCGAUGCAAACUACGAAUACCGAAGAAUGUUAUCACGGGAGACACACGGCGGGUGCUAACGUCCGUCGUGAAGAGGGAAACAACCCAGACCGCCAGCUAAGGUCCCAAAGUCAUGGUUAAGUGGGAAACGAUGUGGGAAGGCACAGACAGCCAGGAUGUUGGCUUAGAAGCAGCCAUCAUUUAAAGAAAGCGUAAUAGCUCACUGGUCGAGUCGGCCUGCGCGGAAGAUGUAACGGGGCUAAACCAUGCACCGAAGCUGCGGCAGCGACACGAUGUGUUGUUGGGUAGGGGAGCGUUCUGUAAGCCUGCGAAGGUGACCUGUGAGGGUUGCUGGAGGUAUCAGAAGUGCGAAUGCUGACAUAAGUAACGAUAAAGCGGGUGAAAAGCCCGCUCGCCGGAAGACCAAGGGUUCCUGUCCAACGUUAAUCGGGGCAGGGUGAGUCGACCCCUAAGGCGAGGCCGAAAGGCGUAGUCGAUGGGAAACAGGUUAAUAUUCCUGUACUUGGUGUUACUGCGAAGGGGGGACGGAGAAGGCUAUGUUAGCCGGGCGACGGUUGUCCCGGUUUAAGCAUGUAGGCUGGUUGUCCAGGCAAAUCCGGAUAAUCAAGGCUGAGGUGUGAUGACGAGGCACUACGGUGCUGAAGUAACAAAUGCCCUGCUUCCAGGAAAAGCCUCUAAGCAUCAGGUAACAUUAAAUCGUACCCCAAACCGACACAGGUGGUCAGGUAGAGAAUACCAAGGCGCUUGAGAGAACUCGGGUGAAGGAACUAGGCAAAAUGGUGCCGUAACUUCGGGAGAAGGCACGCUGGUGUGUAGGUGAAGCCCCUGCGGGUGGAGCUGAGACCAGUCGAAGAUACCAGCUGGCUGCAACUGUUUAUUAAAAACACAGCACUGUGCAAACACGAAAGUGGACGUAUACGGUGUGACGCCUGCCCGGUGCCGGAAGGUUAAUUGAUGGGGUUAUCCGUAAGGAGAAGCUCUUGAUCGAAGCCCCGGUAAACGGCGGCCGUAACUAUAACGGUCCUAAGGUAGCGAAAUUCCUUGUCGGGUAAGUUCCGACCUGCACGAAUGGCGUAAUGAUGGCCAGGCUGUCUCCACCCGAGACUCAGUGAAAUUGAACUCGCUGUGAAGAUGCAGUGUACCCGCGGCAAGACGGAAAGACCCCGUGAACCUUUACUAUAGCUUGACACUGAACAUUGAGCCUUGAUGUGUAGGAUAGGUGGGAGGCUUUGAAGCGUGGACGCCAGUCUGCGUGGAGCCAACCUUGAAAUACCACCCUUUAAUGUUUGAUGUUCUAACGUUGGCCCCUGACCGGGGUUGCGGACAGUGUCUGGUGGGUAGUUUGACUGGGGCGGUCUCCUCCCAAAGCGUAACGGAGGAGCACGAAGGUUAGCUAAUCCUGGUCGGACAUCAGGAGGUUAGUGCAAUGGCAUAAGCUAGCUUGACUGCGAGCGUGACGGCGCGAGCAGGUGCGAAAGCAGGUCAUAGUGAUCCGGUGGUUCUGAAUGGAAGGGCCAUCGCUCAACGGAUAAAAGGUACUCCGGGGAUAACAGGCUGAUACCGCCCAAGAGUUCAUAUCGACGGCGGUGUUUGGCACCUCGAUGUCGGCUCAUCACAUCCUGGGGCUGAAGUAGGUCCCAAGGGUAUGGCUGUUCGCCAUUUAAAGUGGUACGCGAGCUGGGUUUAGAACGUCGUGAGACAGUUCGGUCCCUAUCUGCCGUGGGCGCUGGAGAAUUGAGGGGGGCUGCUCCUAGUACGAGAGGACCGGAGUGGACGCAUCACUGGUGUUCGGGUUGUCAUGCCAAUGGCACUGCCCGGUAGCUAAAUGCGGAAGAGAUAAGUGCUGAAAGCAUCUAAGCACGAAACUUGCCCCGAGAUGAGUUCUCCCUGAGACUUUAAGUCUCCUGAAGGAACGUUAAAGACGAUGACGUUGAUAGGCCGGGUGUGUAAGCGCAGCGAUGCGUUGAGCUAACCGGUACUAAUGAACCGUGAGGCUUAACCUU
RNAcentral lists this ribosomal RNA (2902 nucleotides) under Klebsiella pneumoniae. RNAcentral's name for it is "23S ribosomal RNA". It matches the Rfam family "Bacterial large subunit ribosomal RNA". The record is from RNAcentral. Lineage: Bacteria; Pseudomonadati; Pseudomonadota; Gammaproteobacteria; Enterobacterales; Enterobacteriaceae.